GACUUCCCAUCAAGCUUAUGGCACUUUCUUCAAGCUUCUAGAUUUUUCUAUAUUUUUGAGCACAAAUGUGCAUUAAUUUCAACACCAAAACAAAGAGCCAAUUAGCUAGGUAUGAAAACGUACACCAAGAAGUCUGAAUGGGGCCCAAGGUGGCAACUUCUUCACCACAUGCAUCCAUCCUGAUUCAUUCAUAGUUUUGACUUCAUGCUGUACAAUAUGUGACCUCAGAACAAGAGCAAGAAACUUAAUAGCAGACUGUUGAAAUGAGAUAUUAGAUUUAGAUAGAGCUAGAGAGGAAAAACUAUACGAAAAAUAUGAGUAGUUUGGGAGGCCUAGUUAUCAUUCUUUCAAGCUUUCUGUGUGUGUUUCUUCUUCUCUUAUCUUUCCUCAACAUCUUUUACAAACUAUGGUGGGCUCCAACUCGCAUACAGAAGCUGAUGGCUUUGCAGGGAAUCAAAGGCCCUUCCUACAGACCUAUCCAUGGAAACACCAAGGAAAUCUUGAACAUGAAAAGGGAAAUUAUUGGCAGGCCCAUGAGUUUAUCCCAUGACAUAGUAUCUGCAGUUCGACCUCAUGUUCAUUCGUGGACCAAGAUAUAUGGGAUGAAUUUUCUUCAGUGGUAUGGUUCUCAAGCUCAGUUGGUCAUUAUGGAACCCGAGUUGUGCAAAGAGAUACUGAAUAACAAAGAUGGAGCUUUUGCAAAAAGGAAGCCCCAAAGCUAUGUCAAGAAACUUUUAGGAGAUGGUCUUGGGACAACCGACGGUGAAAAAUGGGGAAAAUUGCGAAAGCUGGCUAACCAUGCCUUCCAUGCAGAGAGCUUAAAAAGCAUGGUUCCAGAAAUGGUAGCUAGUGCCGAGACGAUGCUAGAGGGGUGGAAAAACAGUGAAGGAAAAGAGAUUGAGGUGUUCGAACCAUUUAGGAUGUUCACUUCUGAAGUGAUUUCAAGGACUGCUUUUGGCAGCAGCUACUUGGAAGGACAGAACUUUUUUGAGAAUUUAAUGAAGUUAUCCUUUUUAAUAUUCAAAAAUGCUCUCACUGUCAGAUUUCCUGGAAUCAGUAAGUUUUUUAAAACUAGCGAUGAGAUCGAAUCAGAGAAGCUUGAGAAAGGAAUGCACGACUCCAUAAUAGAGAUUGUUGAGAAAAGAGAACAGAAGGCAAUGGAUGGAGAAGACAGCUUUGGGAGUGAUUUUCUUGGAUUACUUUUAAAAGCUCAUCAUGAUACCAAUGACAGCCAGAGAAUUUCGGUUGAUGAUUUGGUUGACGAGUGCAAGACAUUUUACUUUGCCGGACAAGAAACCACUAAUAGUAUGCUUGCAUGGACUGUGUUUCUCCUGGCACUUAAUACAGAUUGGCAGGAGGAAGCAAGAAAGGAGGUCCUGCAAUUAUUUGGUAGACAAAAUCCAAAUCCUGACGGCCUUUCCAAGUUAAAAACUAUGAGUAUGAUCAUCAAUGAGUCUUUAAGGUUAUAUCCUCCUGUUGUUUCCGUGGAGAGGAAGGUCAGAAGGGAAGUUAAACUGGGGAAGCUCAUUGUUCCUGCUAAUGUUGAAUUGAUAAUCCCAAUUCUAGCAAUCCAUCAUGAGCCUGAAUUUUGGGGGGAAGACGUGCAACUUUUCAAACCAGAGCGAUUCGCGGAAGGGGUUGCUAAAGCUACUAACAAUAACAUAGCUGCAUUCUUACCCUUUGGAAUGGGACCCCGGACAUGUGUGGGCUUCAACUUUGCGAUCACAGAAGCAAAGAUUUCUCUGUCAAUGAUUCUCCAACGCUACACCUCCACUCCCCGUAUGAGUAUCUUACAGUUCGUCCACAACAUGGGGUUCAGGUUGUGCUGCACUCUCUGUGAACUGUCAAAAAGUACCACUAGAAUUGCCCAUAAUCUUGAUCUUGGUGUUUAUAGUAUAUAAUAUACCGGGCAAGAUAGCUUAAAUAAUAUACAGGGCAACCUCUGUUUGAGGCCCUGUUAUAAGGUGGCAGUGGCACUAUAGCUCCCUCUUUCUCUUUUUCCUUUUUUUUUUUUUCGCUGCUUUGCUGCUUGUAAUUACGCUUCUUGUAGAACCAUUUGUUGUGUGGUUUUUCGUUUGUUUUGUUCUUUUGGCUUGUUUUUAGUUCUUUGAUUUGGUGUGUCUGUUCUGUUGGUUUGGUUGGGUUUGGCUCCCUUUUGGGCUUUUGCCGGUUGGCCUUUAUGAUAUCUUUGUUGACCAAAAAAACAAAAAUCAU
This is an RNA transcript of Prunus mume (Japanese apricot), 2214 nucleotides long. It is a transcript of the gene named cytochrome P450 CYP749A22-like, with no coding region annotated. NCBI's taxonomy places the organism in Eukaryota, Viridiplantae, Streptophyta, Magnoliopsida, Rosales, Rosaceae. The record is from RefSeq and is a predicted model, not a curated record.